This 506-nucleotide ribosomal RNA is filed under the name uncultured bacterium. RNAcentral's name for it is "bacterial SSU rRNA". It matches the Rfam family "Bacterial small subunit ribosomal RNA", at positions 1 to 507 of the family's 1533-position model. The record is from RNAcentral.
AUAGUCGCGACGUAGUUGAUCAGUGGCUACGACGGACGAACGCUGGCGGCGUGCCUAACACAUGCAAGUCGAGCGAAGCAUUUGGUAAAGCUUGCUUUACCGAAUGACUUAGCGGCGGACGGGUGAGUAACGCGUGAGCAACCUUUCCUCUACUGGGGAAUAACACCGGGAAACUGGUACUAAUACCGCAUGAGACCACAGAGUCGCAUGGCUCAGGGGUCAAAGAUUUAUCGGUAGAGGGUGGGCUCGCGUCUGAUUAGAUAGUUGGUGGGGUAACGGCCUACCAAGUCGACGAUCAGUAGCCGACCUGAGAGGGUGAUCGGCCACAUUGGGACUGAGACACGGCCCAAACUCCUACGGGAGGCAGCAGGUGGGGAAUAUUGGGCAAUGGGCGAAAGCCUUACCCAGCAAUGCCGCGUGAGUGAAGAAGGUCUUCGGAUUGUAAAGCUCUUGAUUAGGGACGAAAAAUGACGGUACCUAAAGAACAAGCCCCGGCUAACUACGUG